This 164-nucleotide ribosomal RNA is filed under the name Diabelia sanguinea. RNAcentral describes it as "Abelia sanguinea 5.8S ribosomal RNA". It matches the Rfam family "5.8S ribosomal RNA". Rfam says of the family: 5.8S ribosomal RNA (5.8S rRNA) is a component of the large subunit of the eukaryotic ribosome. It is transcribed by RNA polymerase I as part of the 45S precursor that also contains 18S and 28S rRNA. Lineage: Eukaryota; Viridiplantae; Streptophyta; Magnoliopsida; Dipsacales; Caprifoliaceae. The record is from RNAcentral.
CAAACAACUCUCGGCAACGAAUAUCUCGCCUCUCGCAUCGUUAAGAAACGUGGCGAAUGGGAAUACUGGUGGGGAUUUGAGGAACCCCGGGAACAUUGGAGUCUUUGACCGAAGGUGGCCCCCAAGCCCUUUGGGCCAAGGGCACGUCUGCUGGGGCGUCAGGC